RNAcentral lists this ribosomal RNA (683 nucleotides) under uncultured bacterium. RNAcentral's name for it is "bacterial SSU rRNA". It matches the Rfam family "Bacterial small subunit ribosomal RNA", at positions 56 to 734 of the family's 1533-position model. The record is from RNAcentral.
UGCAAGUCGAACGGCAGCGCGGACUUCGGUCUGGCGGCGAGUGGCGAACGGGUGAGUAAUACAUCGGAACGUACCCAGAAGUGGGGGAUAACGCAGCGAAAGUUGCGCUAAUACCGCAUACGUUCUACGGAAGAAAGUGGGGGAUCUUCGGACCUCAUGCUUUUGGAGCGGCCGAUGUCUGAUUAGCUAGUUGGUGGGGUAAAGGCCCACCAAGGCGACGAUCAGUAGCUGGUCUGAGAGAACGACCAGCCACACUGGAACUGAGACACGGUCCAGACUCCUACGGGAGGCAGCAGUGGGGAAUUUUGGACAAUGGGCGCAAGCCUGAUCCAGCAAUGCCGCGUGAGUGAAGAAGGCCUUCGGGUUGUAAAGCUCUUUUGUCAGGGAAGAAACGGUUCCGGCUAAUAUCUGGAGCUAAUGACGGUACCUGAAGAAUAAGCACCGGCUAACUACGUGCCAGCAGCCGCGGUAAUACGUAGGGUGCAAGCGUUAAUCGGAAUUACUGGGCGUAAAGCGUGCGCAGGCGGUUUUGUAAGUCUGUCGUGAAAGCCCCGGGCUCAACCUGGGAAUUGCGAUGGAGACUGCAAGGCUUGAAUCUGGCAGAGGGGGGUAGAAUUCCACGUGUAGCAGUGAAAUGCGUAGAGAUGUGGAGGAACACCGAUGGCGAACGCAGCCCCCUGGGU